AACGCACCUUGCGCCCUCUGGUAUUCCGGAGGGCAUGCCUGUUUGAGUGUCAUGAACACCUCACCCCCUCGGGUUUCCGAUUGGGUGGAUUUGGGUGCUGCCAGUUACAUGGCUCACCUUAAACGUAUUAGCGGUUGUUGACGUAAUAAGUUUCGUCUUGUCGACCGCUUCUAAUCUCCUUCGGGAUGUCUUUCGGGACACUUCAUGAUCUGACCUCAAAUCAGGUAGGACUACCCGCUGAACUUAA
This 247-nucleotide unclassified non-coding RNA is filed under the name uncultured Vishniacozyma. RNAcentral describes it as "sequence contains ITS2". The stretch from base 1 to 52 matches the Rfam family "5.8S ribosomal RNA", at positions 103 to 154 of the family's 154-position model. Lineage: Eukaryota; Fungi; Basidiomycota; Tremellomycetes; Tremellales; Bulleribasidiaceae. The record is from RNAcentral.